UGAGGAAUAUUGGUCAAUGGACGCAAGUCUGAACCAGCCAAGUAGCGUGCAGGAUGACGGCCCUAUGGGUUGUAAACUGCUUUUAUAUGGGGAUAAAGUGGGGAACGUGUUCCCUUUUGCAGGUACCAUAUGAAUAAGGACCGGCUAAUUCCGUGCCAGCAGCCGCGGUAAUACGGAAGGUUCGGGCGUUAUCCGGAUUUAUUGGGUUUAAAGGGAGCGUAGGCCGUUUGGUAAGCGUGUUGUGAAAUGUAGGAGCUCAACUUCUAGAUUGCAGCGCGAACUGUCAGACUUGAGUGCGCACAACGUAGGCGGAAUUCGUGGUGUAGCGGUGAAAUGCUUAGAUAUCAUGAAGAACACCGAUUGCGAAGGCAGCUUACGGGAGCGCAACUGACGCUGAAGCUCGAAAGUGCGGGUAUCGAACAGG
Molecule: ribosomal RNA, 424 nt
Filed under: Verrucomicrobiota bacterium
Lineage: Bacteria; Pseudomonadati; Verrucomicrobiota
Description: Verrucomicrobia bacterium partial 16S ribosomal RNA
Rfam family: Bacterial small subunit ribosomal RNA
Source: RNAcentral